Uranotaenia lowii is the source of this 948-nucleotide long non-coding RNA. RefSeq lists it as uncharacterized. The record is from RefSeq and is a predicted model, not a curated record. The transcript is spliced from 3 exons. Lineage: Eukaryota; Metazoa; Arthropoda; Insecta; Diptera; Culicidae.
UGGAAGGCUCAAGGUUUGCAGUAUCCCGACAGAGUUUCCAACCAAUGGGAUCCAGUAGGGAAGCUGAGGAAAUGUUUAGCCGAGUUCUAGGCUGUAAUAAUCGGUCAAAAUCUGCCAGGAGGCCGUCCUGAAGCCUGCCAAUUUCGUUUCAAUGUCCAACGCACGGCGCAAAUCAAAUCACUUUAUUGAGGAAAGAAAUUUGAAACAAUAAUCGAAGGAUUUCAACAAGGCAAACCGUGCUAAGCCGAACCGGAUAUGGUCGAAAGGUUUACAGAUUAUGAUUCAAUCAUCACAUGUGGCCAAAAUCAAGCAGUGCUCGAUGGCCAGUGAAAUCUUCAACAAAAGCAUUGCGUGGGAGAAAACCAGCCUUCCUCAAAUCGUGACAGUUGAAGGGGUUUCGAUUAAUAACAAAAUUAUGAAAUUGUCGCAAGUGGCGAGAGCUCUUAGCGCACAACCUAUGUACAGUGUACAAACAACAGCAAAUGAAAAAAAAAACAUGAAUGGCGGAUUACUGCCCAGGGUUUUAUGAAUCGAUGGCUCCGGUGUAUAAAAUUGAAUUCGGCUUAUCCCUGCCCUUGGGAUCAGAGAACGUGCAGAGAGAACGGCAGCUGACAAACCGACUUAUUAAGUGUCUGUAAGAGAAAAGCAAUUUUUCAAUCGGAGCCAGCCGUAUCGAUGCGCACAGUGAGACGAUGGAGGAGGAAAGAACGAAGACGGAAAUGGAUCGAUGAGAAAACAUUUUUAGGGGAAGCCCGGGAAGAUAGUUUCCGGAAAUGCCAGUGUUAAUUGGCGAGCCAAGUUCAUAGAUGCAGAAUACACCACAUCGAUAAAUCUAAACGUCAGUUAAAAAACAAUCAGUGACAUUAUUUUUGAGCUCAUCGCCUCAUCAAGGGAUGCAACGAUAAGUUUUGUUUCAAUGAAUCAAGCAGUUAUUUCAAAUUUCUAAUG